This 253-nucleotide ribosomal RNA is filed under the name uncultured bacterium. RNAcentral's name for it is "partial 16S ribosomal RNA". It matches the Rfam family "Bacterial small subunit ribosomal RNA", at positions 524 to 776 of the family's 1533-position model. The record is from RNAcentral.
UACGUAGGUGGCGAGCGUUAUCCGGAAUUACUGGGCGUAAAGCGCACGCAGGCGGCCGCUUAAGUCUGACGUGAAAGCUCCUGGCUUAACUGGGAGAGGUCGUUGGAGACUGGGUGGCUUGAGGCGAUGAGAGGGGUGUGGAAUUCCCGGUGUAGUGGUGGAAUGCGUAGAUAUCGGGAGGAACACCAGUGGCGAAGGCGGCACCCUGGCAUCGGCCUGACGCUGAUGUGCGAAAGCGUGGGGAGCGAACGGG